Long non-coding RNA from Gossypium raimondii (Peruvian cotton), 1309 nucleotides. RefSeq lists it as uncharacterized. The transcript has 4 exons. NCBI's taxonomy places the organism in Eukaryota, Viridiplantae, Streptophyta, Magnoliopsida, Malvales, Malvaceae. The record is from RefSeq and is a predicted model, not a curated record.
UGGUGUGGGGACUCUGUUAUUUGCCAUUGUUCUGCAGUUUAAGAUCAUCCCACUCGAGUCCCGGCAUACCAUUCUUGUUCCCGAUCUGGAAUUUUGUUUGUCAAAAGCUCCAUCAAAAUUUAUUUUUAUUUCUGUUGGGUUUGCUGGUUUCCACCGUUCGUCUUCCACUCUCUGUCCAGGAUUUUAUUCCUCCGCAUCCAUAUUGCCCAGAUGAUAGAAACUAUAACUUUCCUUUGAGCACUGGUUGAUCUGGCGUGUUCCAUGGAUUCUACCAUUUCUCUACAGCAUGGGCACAAAGCAUUGUUGCAUAUUCUUUUGUAAUGUAGAUUUCCCAUUGUUGGAAUAUAGCCAUUGUACACCCUCCAAUAUGUGAUUUUUAUUUUUCCUGGUAGAUGCCAAAGCUAUUUGUGGAAGAAUGUAUUUAUAUCUGUAAUAUUAAUUGUCAUAUUGUCUAGGGUUGAUCUUUCCUUUGUAAGUCAUCUGUAGGCACUUCUCACUAUAUAUUCCUCUGUUUGUUCCCUGUUCCAAAUUCUAAAGUCGUCCUGUGGAUACUUUGCUAGCGAGGUACUUAAUAUUGCAUUCGCCUCUUCUCUUGAGAAUAAGCUGGCCAGGGAUCUAAGCAUCGUUCCAUAUUGAAAAUUGAUUUAUUUUUCCCACUCUCCAGGCCAUACCUUCUUUCAAUAACUUCUUACUUGCCCAUACGCUUCUCCAAGUAUCUGAUGGGUAAUUUCCUAAUUCAGCUUGCAAAAAGUCACUCUCGAUAAUAUUCAAGUUUUAAUGUUCUUGCAAGUAAUGAAUUGGGGUUUUCCAUUAGCCUCCAGCCCUGUUUUUCUAGGAGGCCAUUUGCCUAAAUUUCGGAACCCCAUUCCCCCUUCCAAUUUUGGACUGCAAAGUUUUCUCCAGCUAUACCAAUGUAUUCCCCUUUUACCUUUCUGUUUUUGCCACCAAUAACAACUAAUUAUUUGCUUCAUUUCUUGACAUAAUGAAUUUGGUAAUAAGAAACAUGACAUUGCAUAGGUGGGAAUAGAUUGAAGAACACUUUUAAUAAAAACUUCUUUUCCUCUUUGGGAAGUAUUUUAACACUCCAAUUAUUUACUCAUUCUGCCAUAUUGUCUCUUAAAUUCUGGAAUGCCCUUUUCUUUUGUCUUACCACAAUGUUGGGUAGUCCCAGAUAUUUUUCAACAUCUUUCACGCUUCUAACUUGUAAUGAUUGGGAUACCUUCUCCCUUUCUUGCGCUGAACUGUUCGAGCUAAAGAAAACUGUUGAUUUAUCCAUAUUGAUACUUUGGCUAGAAUUUUGUUCAUAAAC